GAACGCUGGUUCUGUGCUUAAACAAAGAAGUCGAGCGGAAAGGCCCUUCUGGGUACUCGAGCGUUUAACGGGUGAGUAACAAGUGAGCAACCUGCCCCUAGCUCUGGGAUAGCUCCGGGAAACCGGGAUUAAUACCAGAUACGACCACUUUAGACAUCUGCUGUGGUGGAAAGGAUUCCUGCUAAGGAUGGGCUCGCGGCCUAUCAGCUUGUUGGUGGGGUAGUGGCCUACCAAGGCGACGACGGGUAGCCGGCCUGAGAGGGCGACCGGCCACACUGGGACUGAGACACGGCCCAGACUCCUACGGGAGGCAGCAGUGGG
Molecule: ribosomal RNA, 321 nt
Filed under: uncultured Actinomycetales bacterium
Lineage: Bacteria; Bacillati; Actinomycetota; Actinomycetes; Actinomycetales
Description: bacterial SSU rRNA
Rfam family: Bacterial small subunit ribosomal RNA
Source: RNAcentral